Molecule: long non-coding RNA, 647 nt
Organism: Oncorhynchus nerka (sockeye salmon)
Lineage: Eukaryota; Metazoa; Chordata; Actinopteri; Salmoniformes; Salmonidae
Exons: 3
Source: RefSeq, a predicted model, not a curated record
CACCAUGUGACCUCUGGCAUGAAAAUUAAUGCGACGUUCCUUUUUAGACUGUUGGCCAUUGACCACCAUGCCAAAACAUUCCCUAUGUAAACCUGCCUAUCUGAGUGGUUAAUGUACAUUUCCCCCAAUGGAUGUCACCAUAAGAUUUGGUUGGUGCAGAAGAUGGCCGCCGAAGCACCCAUCUGUCCUUAAUCCAUUGCAUGCAUGAUGUCACAGCAGGCGUCAUCGAUAUCCUGUCAAAUCAACUCUAUUGCAUAAAAGCACAGGUCUUGUGUUAUGUCCCGUUUCCCUGAAGGUCAAGCUGCUGUAAUGUAGGGCAAGCUACUGAUUCUCUGCAUUUCAUGAACUCAAGAUCGAAUGUUUCAUCCUGUUUGAUCACAAACCACAUCCAAGGUUGUGUAGAGUACGCUGCUGAAAUCAGUUUCACCCAUUAUGAGACGACUAGUCAUUAGAGCAAGAGUGCCUACAACCAAUAUUUGUAUUGACUGAACAAGCCAGGAAAGGCAGUUUGGUACUCUAAUUUCUACCCCAUGUGGAUUAGUGUGUGUUGACAAGUCAGCAUCUUCGCUUUAACGUUAAAUUGUUUUAGACUUAUGGUUUAUCAUUGUUCAAAUAAUAAAACUACCCUUCCUGGGGUCCAGAAAGUA